Molecule: ribosomal RNA, 422 nt
Filed under: uncultured bacterium
Lineage: Bacteria
Description: bacterial SSU rRNA
Rfam family: Bacterial small subunit ribosomal RNA
Source: RNAcentral
UGAGGAAUAUUGGGCAAUGCCCGCAAGGGUGACCCAGCAACGCCGCGUGGAGGAUGAAUGUCGUAAGAUUGUAAACUCCUGUUAGAGGGGAAGAACAGUACCGGUUGGACCGGUAUAUGACUGUACCCUCAGAGAAAGCCCCGGCUAACUACGUGCCAGCAGCCGCGGUAAUACGUAGGGGGCAAGGGUUGUCCGGAUUUACUGGGUGUAAGGGGGGCGCUGGCGGGAUAAAAAGUCAGUGGUGAAAUCCUACAGCUUAACUGUAGAACUGCCUUUGAUACUUUUAUUCUUGAGUUCGGGAGACAGAGACGGAAUUCCAGGGGUAGUGGUGAAAUACGUAGAUAUCUGGAAGAACACCAGUUGCGAAGGCGGUCUCUUGGUCCGACACUGACGCUGAGGCGCGAAAGCGUGGGGAGCAAACA